GGUGUGGUGGAGCAGUGGUAAAAUCACUGACUGACAAUCAGUCGGUCCGGGUUCAAUUCCCCGUCCCACUA
This 71-nucleotide transfer RNA is filed under the name Alosa alosa (allis shad). RNAcentral describes it as "tRNA-OTHER". It matches the Rfam family "tRNA". From Rfam's summary of the family: Transfer RNA (tRNA) molecules are approximately 80 nucleotides in length. Their secondary structure includes four short double-helical elements and three loops (D, anti-codon, and T loops). The record is from RNAcentral. Lineage: Eukaryota; Metazoa; Chordata; Actinopteri; Clupeiformes; Clupeidae.